Molecule: small RNA, 512 nt
Filed under: uncultured bacterium
Lineage: Bacteria
Description: bacterial SSU rRNA
Rfam family: Bacterial small subunit ribosomal RNA (bases 171-512)
Source: RNAcentral
AUCAGCCGGUCUCGCGAAUGNAUUAGAUUAAAGUUUGAUCAUGGCUCAGGCCUUGGAUCUACUCCUUAGAGUUUGAUCAUGGCUCAGGGCUGGAACACCUCCUUAGAGUUUGAUCCUGGCUCAGGCUGGACCACCACCUUAGAGUUUGAUCAUGGCUCAGGGUUGGAACACCUCCUUAGAGUUUGAUCAUGGCUCAGAUUGAACGCUGGCGGCAGGCUUAACACAUGCAAGUCGAGCGGGGAAGGGUAGCUUGCUACCUAACCUAGCGGCGGACGGGUGAGUAAUGCUUAGGAAUCUGCCAUUUAGUGGGGGACAACAUUCCGAAAGGAAUGCUAAUACCGCAUACGUCCUACGGGAGAAAGCAGGGGAUCUUCGGACCUUGCGCUAAAUGAUGAGCCUAAGUCGGAUUAGCUAGUUGGUGGGGUAAAGGCCUACCAAGGCGACGAUCUGUAGCGGGUCUGAGAGGAUGAUCCGCCACACUGGGACUGAGACACGGCCCAGACUCCUACGGG